AACGAACGCUGGCGGCAUGCCUAACACAUGCAAGUCGAACGAGACCUUCGGGUCUAGUGGCGCACGGGUGCGUAACGCGUGGGAAUCUGCCCUUGGGUUCGGAAUAACAGUUAGAAAUGACUGCUAAUACCGGAUAAUGUCUUCGGACCAAAGAUUUAUCGCCCAGGGAUGAGCCCGCGUAGGAUUAGCUAGUUGGUGAGGUAAAGGCUCACCAAGGCGACGAUCCUUAGCUGGUCUGAGAGGAUGAUCAGCCACACUGGGACUGAGACACGGCCCAGACUCCUACGGGAGGCAGCAGUGGGGAAUAUUGGACAAUGGCGAAAGCCUGAUCCAGCAAUGCCGCGUGAGUGAUGAAGGCCUUAGGGUUGUAAAGCUCUUUACCCGGAUGAUAAUAGACAGGUACCGGGAGAAUAA
RNAcentral lists this ribosomal RNA (414 nucleotides) under uncultured bacterium. RNAcentral's name for it is "bacterial SSU rRNA". It matches the Rfam family "Bacterial small subunit ribosomal RNA", at positions 29 to 489 of the family's 1533-position model. The record is from RNAcentral.